AGGAGGAAUAGAAGAAGAAAGAAGAAGAUCGAAGAAACAGCAUAAUCUCCUUCACUCCAAACUCAAACAUAAGCACAAGUUGUUAUAGUUCCCUGUUCUGUUUGGUGAUUCGUGGCAGCCAUGGAUGUCUCUUUUUCAUUAUCUACAACCUCCGCCACCUAUCUGCGUCCAUCCACAGGUCAAUCUCUAACACCUUUUGUCUCCUUUUUGCGAUCACGAAAAAAUUUGAAAAAAAAAAAAACAGAUUCUUGUAUUAAACACAAAAAAAAUUGUACUAUUCCAAAACUUAUUCGUGGUUAAUUGUAGCACAGGAAAAGCUCGAUUUGUUUUAAUUUUAAAAUAUCGAACGUGCAAAUCCUCUCUGAUGCUGUCGAUAUGUUUUAAGCACAGGCCUGUGUUCGAUUUCUAUCUGUUUUAUGUUGUCUACGGAUUAAAAAUGUUGUGAUUUUCCAGAGGCAUUCUA
RNAcentral lists this long non-coding RNA (463 nucleotides) under Populus trichocarpa (black cottonwood). Its description in RNAcentral is "long non-coding RNA (PTRI_LNC001602)". The record is from RNAcentral. Lineage: Eukaryota; Viridiplantae; Streptophyta; Magnoliopsida; Malpighiales; Salicaceae.